This 793-nucleotide ribosomal RNA is filed under the name Streptomyces virginiae. RNAcentral's name for it is "partial 16S ribosomal RNA". Lineage: Bacteria; Bacillati; Actinomycetota; Actinomycetes; Kitasatosporales; Streptomycetaceae. The record is from RNAcentral.
UGNCAGUCUCUGUCGGCCGUACUCCCCAGGCGGGGAACUUAAUGCGUUAGCUGCGGCACCGACGACGUGGAAUGUCGCCAACACCUAGUUCCCAACGUUUACGGCGUGGACUACCAGGGUAUCUAAUCCUGUUCGCUCCCCACGCUUUCGCUCCUCAGCGUCAGUAAUGGCCCAGAGAUCCGCCUUCGCCACCGGUGUUCCUCCUGAUAUCUGCGCAUUUCACCGCUACACCAGGAAUUCCGAUCUCCCCUACCACACUCUAGCUAGCCCGUAUCGAAUGCAGACCCGAGGUUAAGCCUCGGGCUUUCACAUCCGACGUGACAAGCCGCCUACGAGCUCUUUACGCCCAAUAAUUCCGGACAACGCUUGCGCCCUACGUAUUACCGCGGCUGCUGGCACGUAGUUAGCCGGCGCUUCUUCUGCAGGUACCGUCACUUUCGCUUCUUCCCUGCUGAAAGAGGUUUACAACCCGAAGGCCGUCAUCCCUCACGCGGCGUCGCUGCAUCAGGCUUUCGCCCAUUGUGCAAUAUUCCCCACUGCUGCCUCCCGUAGGAGUCUGGGCCGUGUCUCAGUCCCAGUGUGGCCGGUCGCCCUCUCAGGCCGGCUACCCGUCGUCGCCUUGGUGGGCCAUUACCCCACCAACAAGCUGAUAGGCCGCGGGCUCAUCCUUCACCGCCGGAGCUUUCACCCCCGCCCAUGCAGGCAGGAGUGNAUUCGGUAUUAGACCCCGUUUUCAGGGCUGGUCCAGAGUGAAGGCGGAUUGCCACGUGUACUCACCCGUUCGCACUAAUCC